UACGUAGGUGGCGAGCGUUGUUCGGAAUUACUGGGCGUAAAGGGCUCGUAGGCGGCUUUCUAAGUCGGGGGUGAAAUCCUGGAGCUCAACUCCAGAACUGCCUUUGAUACUGAGAAGCUUGAGUCCGGGAGAGGUGAGUGGAACUGCGAGUGUAGAGGUGAAAUUCGUAGAUAUUCGCAAGAACACCAGUGGCGAAGGCGGCUCACUGGCCCGGUACUGACGCUGAGGCACGAAAGCGUGGGGAGCGAACAGG
Molecule: ribosomal RNA, 253 nt
Filed under: uncultured bacterium
Lineage: Bacteria
Description: partial 16S ribosomal RNA
Rfam family: Bacterial small subunit ribosomal RNA
Source: RNAcentral